This 882-nucleotide long non-coding RNA is filed under the name Zalophus californianus (California sea lion). RNAcentral describes it as "lncRNA (ENSZCAG00015013277.1)". Lineage: Eukaryota; Metazoa; Chordata; Mammalia; Carnivora; Otariidae. The record is from RNAcentral.
GACCUGCCCUUGCCAUGAGGCCCAGAUCCCCUCCACCAGGCACCAGUAACUCCCCUGACCAGUAAUUUCCCCUGAGGGACGCACCCAGGUCCGUCUCCCCCUUCCUGCCACAGCCAGACUAAGGGUCACAGACGCCAAGCAGGGGCCAGGGGGAGAGGGGCCCCACCCAGCCCGGCAGGGACCCUCUGCUGGCUGCUCAUUCUGGGGCCUUUUCCACCCCCACGUGUUCAACGUGCUUUGCCUGUCUGCCUCACCCUGUAGGACUAGGAGGUGGGGGUUCAACACAGCAAGACCUGCCCCCAAGCUCAGGCUCAGUCCCUGCCUGGGGCCAGCCACCUGUCCCCCGGCUUAGGACGGGCCCACAUGAGGAGGAGGAACUUGCCCUUUGAAGCUGGUGGGGGGCCAGGACCCCCACCAUGCUUGAGUUCCCCUGGGUGGGAGAAGCCACCACAAAGGCUGUGAUUGUGAGCCAGGCCAGGCACACAAUGGGGUGGGCCGCUCAGGGGCCAGGGCCCCACAUGGAGAUGAGGCCACAGCCCCUUCCCUGCUCCCUCCUCCCUGGCCCCGCCCAGCCCCACCAGGAAAGCCGGACAGAGGGCCCAACAGCCCAGAGCGGCUCCACCCUGAUCCCUGAAGGACUGGGCACUGGGCCCGAGGGCUGUGUGGCAGCCCGUGGUUGCUGCGGGGACCAGGUCGUUUGGGGCGAGGACCUGCCUUCUCAUGUGGACGGAGGUGAGCGGCCAGAUGGCAGCUCCCGCACACUUGCUGUGUUACUGCAGGGAGCCCACUGAGUGUGUGAGAUGCUCAGCACUGCCCAUCCUGGCCUGGGCUCCGCCCUCACCUGCCUCCCAGCUCAGGCACCUGUCUGCCCAAGUGAGCAGC